This 510-nucleotide ribosomal RNA is filed under the name uncultured bacterium. RNAcentral describes it as "partial 16S ribosomal RNA". It matches the Rfam family "Bacterial small subunit ribosomal RNA", at positions 28 to 507 of the family's 1533-position model. The record is from RNAcentral.
GACGAACGCUGGCGGCGUGCUUAACACAUGCAAGUCGAACGAAGAGCGGUGGACGCUUGCUUCUAUCAAUCUUAGUGGCGAACGGGUGAGUAACGCGUAAUCAACCUGCCCUUCAGAGGGGGACAACAGUUGGAAACGACUGCUAAUACCGCAUACGAUCUAAUCUCGGCAUCGAGGAUAGAUGAAAGGUGGCCUCUACAUGUAAGCUAUCACUGAAGGAGGGGAUUGCGUCUGAUUAGCUAGUUGGAGGGGUAACGGCCCACCAAGGCGAUGAUCAGUAGCCGGUCUGAGAGGAUGAACGGCCACAUUGGGACUGAGACACGGCCCAGACUCCUACGGGAGGCAGCAGUGGGGAAUCUUCCGCAAUGGACGAAAGUCUGACGGAGCAACGCCGCGUGAGUGAUGACGGCCUUCGGGUUGUAAAGCUCUGUUAAUCGGGACGAAAGGCCUUCUUGCGAAUAGGGAGAAGGAUUGACGGUACCGGAAUAGAAAGCCACGGCUAACUACGUG